GACGAACGCUGGCGGCGUGCUUAACACAUGCAAGUCGAACGGAAAGGCCCUGCUUGCAGGGUACUCGAGUGGCGAACGGGUGAGUAACACGUGGGUGAUCUGCCCUGCACUUCGGGAUAAGCUUGGGAAACUGGGUCUAAUACCGGAUAGGAACCAUCUUUAGUGUGGUGGUUGGAAAGUUUUUUCGGUGUAGGAUGAGCUCGCGGCCUAUCAGCUUGUUGGUGGGGUAAUGGCCUACCAAGGCGGCGACGGGUAGCCGGCCUGAGAGGGUGUACGGCCACAUUGGGACUGGGAUACGGCCCAGACUCCUACGGGAGGCAGCAGUGGGGAAUAUUGCACAAUGGGCGCAAGCCUGAUGCAGCGACGCCGCGUGGGGGAUGAAGGCCUUCGGGUUGUAAACUCCUUUCGCUAGGGACGAAGCUUUUUGUGACGGUACCUAGAUAAGAAGCACCGGCUAACUACGUG
This 465-nucleotide ribosomal RNA is filed under the name uncultured bacterium. RNAcentral's name for it is "partial 16S ribosomal RNA". It matches the Rfam family "Bacterial small subunit ribosomal RNA", at positions 28 to 507 of the family's 1533-position model. The record is from RNAcentral.